GGCACACCAAGCUGACCCGAUAUCUCCAAAAAUGUUCAAGAACGGCUGAACGCUGUUGGAGAAAGUCUCACUCUGCACCUGACUUCCUCCACUAUAAAUAUAUGCUGCGCUGCUACACACUAGCUCUUUCCUCUCCAAAAGUAAAUUACUUCAAUACCCUCAUAACCACACUCUCCCACGAACACAAACAACUAUUCCACACUUUUAAUGCUCUCUUUCGCCCUGUUGCUCCCCCUCCUCCUACCACCCUGUCCACCUCAAACUUUG
Non-coding RNA from Pelobates cultripes (western spadefoot toad), 267 nucleotides. NCBI's taxonomy places the organism in Eukaryota, Metazoa, Chordata, Amphibia, Anura, Pelobatidae. The record is from the annotation of a GenBank genome assembly.